RNAcentral lists this unclassified non-coding RNA (353 nucleotides) under soil metagenome. RNAcentral describes it as "partial contains 5.8S ribosomal RNA, internal transcribed spacer 2, and large subunit ribosomal RNA". The stretch from base 1 to 120 matches the Rfam family "5.8S ribosomal RNA", at positions 35 to 154 of the family's 154-position model. The record is from RNAcentral.
GAUGAAGAACGCAGCGAAAUGCGAUAAGUAGUGUGAAUUGCAGAAUUCCGUGAAUCAUCGAAUCUUUGAACGCACAUUGCGCCCGCCAGUAUUCUGGCGGGCAUGCCUGUCCGAGCGUCAUUUCAACCCUCGAACCCCUCCGGGGGGUCGGCGUUGGGGAUCGGCCCUUUCACCGGGUGCCGGCCCCUAAAUACAGUGGCGGUCUCGCCGCAGCCUCUCAUGCGCAGUAGUUUGCACACUCGCACCGGGAGCGCGGCGCGUCCUCGUCCGUAAAACACCCCAAACUUCUGAAAUGUUGACCUCGGAUCAGGUAGGAAUACCCGCUGAACUUAAGCAUAUCAAUAAGCGGAGGA